RNA transcript from Hemicordylus capensis (graceful crag lizard), 4906 nucleotides. RefSeq lists it as uncharacterized. Lineage: Eukaryota; Metazoa; Chordata; Lepidosauria; Squamata; Cordylidae. The record is from RefSeq and is a predicted model, not a curated record. The transcript is spliced from 11 exons.
GCCCAAAGGUCUCGUUCUCAUGCUCUGCCUGCUCUCUUCUAGGCUGCGCAGGCUCCGAGCCCUCCUGGCUAGGCGGUCCAGCCGAGUGGCCCCCCUGGCCGCCCCAGGGGAGUCUGCAGCCUCCAGGCCAGCUGCCCCCCGGAGGUGGUGGGUCCUGUGCGGCCGCACCAACCGGGUGGGCCCUGCUCCUUCGCUGCCACUGGUUGGGGGCUGCAGCCGGCCAGAGCCAGCCGAGCCCCCUGUUGAGGAUGCUGGAGCUCCAACACCCAGCAGCCUCAUCAAGGCCAGGCUCCGCCUUGUGGAUAAGGCCAGACCGGAAAGUGAAGAAGAAGGGAAGGACCGGAGGGACCGGGUCACGUUCCUGAAGACCCUGAUCGAGGCCUGCAGGAACAGCCUCCAGAGAGGGGAACGCCGCCUUGCCUUCUCAAAGGGUUUGGCAGCCCAGGCCGUGCUGGAGGAGAUGGAGUAUACCUGGGAGGACCCCCUGCCUCCCUACCUCUUCUCCCUCUGCGCGGAGGCUCUCACCUUGCUGAGUCGGAUGAAGCCCUGCUUCUGCCAGAGCAGGGAACAUAAAAUCAUCUCCGGCUGCCUGUUCUGGAUGAGCGUGAUGCCAGAGCAAGGGCCACAGCAAGACCAGGAGGACCUGUUUCUGCCACCUGAGGAGGCCCUGCAGGGCCUGCUCAGAGCCCUCCUUUCUCAAAGGCCCAGCCUGGAGCACCUCAUCCAUAUCACUGAGGCCAUUAAUAGUGAGGUGGAAACCAAAGACGAGCAGGAGGAGGCGGUGGCAGAAAGGGCUGGCUGUUUGCUGCUUGAUCUGGCGACUGGGCCGCCCUUCUACUUUGAGGCAGAGAAGAUUAAGCCCCUGCUGCCCUUUGCGGUUCUUCAGGUGUGGAGGAUGGCAGCCCAGGCCAAAGACCAAGACAGCACUUCAUCUAGUGAAGAGGACCUGCUCCAAGAUGUUGAGUUCUGGGAUGACUGAGGGCAAUCAGCUCAUGGACACUGGACAAGCUUGUGGCCAAAAUCAGGUGGGGAUGCCAUUUCUCUUGCUCCCUUUGGGAACGCCAGCCCAGAAUCUGCCGCCAUUUCUCAGGGAUGGGGAGGUUCCUCUGCCCUUUUCCCAAGCCCUGCUCUCAUUGCAGAUGCUCCAGGGCCUCUGUAUGGAAGAGAAAGAGGGAGGAGCUGGAGGAGCUUACUCCCCUCCUGACCUCUCUGGCCCAGAGCCCUUGCCAUCAACAUAGAGGAUUCCCUCUAAGAAUUUCUUUGCCUGAUAAGGCAAGGGCAUGUGCUGUUGAGACCGUGACCUCGUUCCCACAGCUGGCCCCCACGGAUUCAUCCACACAGCGUCAUCUCAUCUUCUUUCCCAACCCAUGGACUUCUUCCUGGCGAGGAAUGUGGUUUUUACUUCCAUCCAUGUUGUUGGUUAGAGGAAGUUACAGCCCUACAUUCAAGAACGGGAAACAAGAAGUGCCCGAGAAACAGCCCACACGGUCCAUAGAAGGGAGAGAGAAAUCUAAGCAAGCAAAAAUCCAAAAAUAUUCUAAAAAACAGGAAUGAAAAGCCAGUGUCUCCUGAAGGCUGGUCUCAAGGAGGAAUUCAUCUUCAGAGAGAAGACUUGGAUUGGCAUCACAUCAGCCUUGGCUCUGCUGCUUGUGCUCAGCGUGAUAGGAAAUGUAAGGUUCCUCUUCUGCAGCUCCCGAGAGGAACGCAAGCGUGGCGGAUAUACCUACUACCCGCUGCAGGACAUGAAUGGGGAGGCCGGCCACGAUUGUCCAUGGGACAAGGAAGACCAAGUGGAGGACCCCUGCGCCCCACCUCAGCCUGUGUCAGCAACGCUGUUCUUACAAGAGAAGCCAGAAGACGCUCUCCGUGGCUCAGAUGUUUGGGCACCAUAGCUGAACAUUCUGGAGGUCUUCCAGUGCAGAACCUGGCUGCUUCUCUUACGGGCCUGUGCUCUCUGAAACGGGCCGCUGUCCUCACAAGUAGGUCUACCCAGGGGAAAGGAGCCUAGGAGAUCCUAGGGUGACGAUCUGAUAUUUUGGUUCCUGAGGUGGAAAAUCCAGCUGCUGACCUCUGGUGGGGGAAAACUAAUACGGACCUAAGACUGCCUUAUGCAAGGUCUGGAAUGCCGCCUUGGCAACGCCAGGGUUAUGCUGCUAAGCAUCUAGGCUAUUCCCUUAUCAGCUUUUGUCCUAAAGAAGCAUGCAAAAAUGUGAAACACACACUGGAACAGAGAACUGCAUUCCAGCAGGCCUCUCCGUGAACGUUUUAGACAUCUGAAAUGUCUUGUCUGCACCAGCUAAACAGAUAGCAACAUUUUCUAGGUGGAUUGAUGGGGAUUUAGGGGACGCUGAGACUCCUCCUGCUGCCAAAUUAGGAAUGUUGGAGAGACAGGCUGCUGGGCUUUCAGUCUGAGAGCGCCCACCAACGCAGCCUUUUAAGUUGAUCUAGCUUCAGGUGCCUUUUUAAGGAUGCGGAGACAAGUGAGAGGUGGCUUAUUACCAUGUAAUAUUUGACAAAGGCAAAACCUCACGUAGAAAGAAUGGAUUUCUUAACCUCUUUCCCCUUAUUGUAAUUUUUUUUUAAAAAUGGUCAUCUGUGCCAUCUAUCUGAGCCCCAUGAGUUAACCAAGGUUUGUUUAAUGACUACUAGCCAAGAGGGCUCUUUUAAAAAAUAGUCUAGUGAUGGUGGCUAAAUAGAGCCUCCAGAUUCAGGAGCAGUGUGCCUCUUCAUUCCAGAUGCAAACAAGGGAUAGCCAUCACACCAAGUGGAAACAAUAUCAAACCUACAUAGAUCUGUGGAUGGGUCUAGCCCAGUGGGUACUUAUUUUCUUCUUCGUUUGCUAUAUGAACUGCUUUGAACGUUGCUUUUGUUUUAAAAGCAAUGUGUAAAUACUGUAUUCUUAAUCAUAAUGAAGUUGACUCUUAGGCCUUAAUGAAGAUGGCUUAGGCCUUUAACUUAUCACAUCAGAAGUUUUAAGUAUUUUGAAAGAUGUAGAUUUACUUCAAGAAGGUCAGCAGCCUUCCAGUUAAUUUAUUUUAAAGUUUUUAGGCCUGUCUGAGCCAGAAUAUUUAAAUCUCUUGGUUCCCUUCACACCUCUUUUUGUACUGACUGCCAAAGACUGCGGGUUGUGCCACACUUGAACCAUGUGUCUAUGUAUAUAUUUCGGAAUCUAUUUUAUUACCUCUAAUAACUUUUAUGAAAGGCUUGAACAAACCUGGUCUGAAGGAAUCAGCUUUUUAUUGGGUAUAUCCAGUUUUGUAUUCCUGGAAUCAUCCUUUGAUCAGUGGUGAGUUAGUGGGCAAAGAAGGGAAAACAUGGUAAUUUCAUGCCAGGAUAGGGGGAAAUGUGUCUCCUUCACCUUUCUGCUAAGAGGAAACAGUAUUCCUAGCUUAACCUGCAGUAUCUGAUAAAUAGAGGGGAAUUAUUUCAUUCCCUUUCUGCUUCUGAAGCUUUAAGGUAAGAUCUUAAGAUCACAUCCUCCUCUUGCUGUAUUAUGUAUGUCUUUGUCUUGACCUUUUUUAAAGCUAGAAAAAUCAAUCUAGAUAGUUUCCAUUACAAAAAUAACCUACAAAUUAAUCCUACAUGUUCCCACUGGCAAGAGAACAUCUGCUGUGAAUGUUUAAUGCUGUGAAUGUGUAAAUGUUUAGUGCCAUACUUACCAAAAAUUCAUCAAUACCAAUCAGAAUUCUUAGAUAUAGCUUCUGAUUCCAUUACUGGAAAAGUGAUACCAUGCCCGAUUCCUUGGAAUUGCCCACUCACACGACUCAUUCCCCUGGCUAAAGGGCUGUAUGCACACACAUAUAUUCACCCACCCUCUUACUGAAAAAUGCAGGGAUCAAAAAGGUGCAUAAAAACACACUUGUUUAUUAGGAAUCAAAACUUAAACACAAGCAGACCAGUUUUCUUCUCUUCCAGCUUGUAAUAAAUUACAAAUAACAAAAGCAAUGCAGUUGUGUGUGUUGUUGAUACAGUCUAAUUCUGAGAGGGAAAUAUUAGUUAUUUCCCUGUCAGUUGAUGUCCAGUUUCCAUUUUACCAGCUCUCUACCCUACUACCAAUGCAUUCUUUGUUUAAAAAACACACAAUUUUUCACUAUAAAAUAUUCCUUAAAUAAAUCUUCUAAUCAGAAAGGCAACUUUGUGCUCACAAGAUCUGGUCCCAGUGGCCAUCCUGUAUCUGCUGAGCAUAGUUAAUUUUGUUUCCAUAUCUGGGCUGCUGAGAGAAUUCAGCAAACUGGGGGGAAAGAGCUGGGAAUCUCUUCUGACUUACAAAUUCUCAACACCACUUAGAUAAGAUGCAACUAUCAAAAUGAAAAUUGGUUGGGUUGUUUUUUUUGAAGAACAAGAGUUUAAUCUUGUUUCUUGCACUGUUUCUCAAGGGAGAUUCCAAAAGGGUGAUUCUGUUACUUGGCUUUGUCACUGUCCUGGGGUCAGGGAUACUUCUAUGAAAAAGCCAACGAGUUUGAGGAUUGCUCACCCUCAAGUCCACACGAGGACAGAGCCAUGACCCAGUCCAGGAGGGAACUUUCUAAGUAAACCACCUGUGAUCCCAUUUAGAAAAGGUGGCCAAGAAUGCUCCCUGUCCAUGCCGAGGAAACCAGGAAGACUAAUAAAUUAGCUACUGGCAUUGUUAUCAGGGAUCAGGGGAAAAGAUCAUACUUCUAACCAUCCCCAUAAAUGUCAAGUAACACCUACAUCUGAGGGACACUCAAAAUAGCUUCUCUGCCUCAGUUCCAAUCAAGAGAGUUACCCUAUUGAGCCAAGAUGAUCUUGAGUUUUGGGGAGGGGGAAUCUAGCCAAGAGUCCAAAUCCUGGAUCACCCCCAGUAUGGUGAUUUCCAGGCAAGUAAUCCAGGGUCUGUGAAUCAAGAAGAGGUGUGUCUGAAACCAAGCAAGCCAGGAGACGUCUG